AGCUUGGAUAGGCUAUUUUGGCCAAUAAGCAUCACUCCAGGGGUUGAAAUGAGGAUUUCAUCUAGGGUUACAGAAGCUGAAAUUCCGGGAGAAGAUACAAAACUGAGUGCUGAAAGGAAAAUGAAGGGGGUGCAUGGAAGAAAACUGGCCUGCUUUCGAGGACAUCAUCAGAGCCCAGAGUUCAACAGAUCAUGAACACUUCGAGACAAAUGAAGACAGGUGCAAUCUCCUUGAAGAAAUAAAAUCUAAGUACCAACAUCC
Long non-coding RNA from Homo sapiens (human), 261 nucleotides. RefSeq lists it as uncharacterized. The record is from RefSeq and is a predicted model, not a curated record. The transcript has 2 exons. Lineage: Eukaryota; Metazoa; Chordata; Mammalia; Primates; Hominidae.